Molecule: ribosomal RNA, 691 nt
Filed under: Priestia endophytica
Lineage: Bacteria; Bacillati; Bacillota; Bacilli; Caryophanales; Bacillaceae
Description: bacterial SSU rRNA
Rfam family: Bacterial small subunit ribosomal RNA
Source: RNAcentral
CGGAAUUGGCGGCGUGCCUAAUACAUGCAAGUCGAGCGGAGUUUUGAAAAGCUUGCUUUUCAAAACUUAGCGGCGGACGGGUGAGUAACACGUGGGCAACCUGCCCUUGAGACGGGGAUAACUCCGGGAAACCGGAGCUAAUACCGGAUAACACAUAUCUUCGCAUGAGGAUAUGUUAGAAGGUGGCUUUUAGCUACCACUCAAGGAUGGGCCCGCGGCGCAUUAGCUAGUUGGUGAGGUAACGGCUCACCAAGGCGACGAUGCGUAGCCGACCUGAGAGGGUGAUCGGCCACACUGGGACUGAGACACGGCCCAGACUCCUACGGGAGGCAGCAGUAGGGAAUCUUCCGCAAUGGACGAAAGUCUGACGGAGCAACGCCGCGUGAGUGAUGAAGGUUUUCGGAUCGUAAAGCUCCUGUUGUAGGGGAAGAACAAGUACCUUGUUAAAUAAGCAGGUACCUUGACGGUACCUACCCAGAAAGCCACGGCUAACUACGUGCCAGCAGCCGCGGUAAUACGUAGGGGGCAAGCGUUGUCCGGAAUUAUUGGGCGUAAAGCGCGCGCAGGCGGUUCCUUAAGUCUGAUGUGAAAGCCCACGGCUCAACCGUGGAGGGUCAUUGGAAACUGGGGAACUUGAGUGCAGAAGAACAGAGCGGAAUUCCACGUGUAGCGGUGAAAUGCGUAGAGAUGU